GUUAACACUAAGCAGCGCGUUGUGUGCACGGAGGUGUGCAAAAUGAGUGUCGAAGGGAAAGUGGCUCUGGUCACCGGCGGAGCACAGGGCAUCGGAAAAGCCGUAGCUGAAGCCCUCCUGAAAAAUGGGGCAAAGGUAGCACUGGUAGACAUGAAUCAGUCUGUGGGCGAGGUCUGUAAACGAGAACUAGACGGACUGUAUGGAGAGGAUAACUGUAUUUUUAUCCAGUGUGACGUGACGGACGCGGGGAAACUAAAAGAAACCUUCCAAAGCACAGUCAAGAAGUUUGGUCGGUUGGAUAUUGUCAUCAAUAAUGCUGGAAUCAACAAUGAGAAGAACUGGGAAAAGACCAUUGAAGUAAAUUUGACAUCUGUUAUAAAGGGGACAUAUUUAGCCCUGGAACAUAUGAGUAAAGAAUAUGGAAAGGCAGGAGGUGUUAUCAUCAAUGUCUCAUCGAUGGCAGCAUUUCUCCAUUCUCCUCACCAGCCAGUGUACACAGCAACGAAGUACGGGGUGAUUGGAUUUUCCCGAGCUUUGGCCGCUGACCGUGUUUGGACACGUUUUGUUGUCAGCAGGACGCAUCUGAACAGGGCAAUUAUGGAGUGAGGAUCAACACACUGUGCCCAGCCUUUGUGGACACCCAGCUCCUACGCACUGUAGAGCAUGAGGAAACAAUGGGCAAGUUUGUCAAGUACAAAGAUGAGUUCAAGGAAAGGAUGGACAAGUAUGGCAUUCUUAAACCAUCACUGAUUGCAGAGGGAAUGCUGCACAUCAUAACAGAUGAAAGCCUGAAUGGGGCUGUGAUGAAGAUCACCUGCUCUAAAGGGAUUCACUUCCACACCUAUGAGCCUCUUUCAGCUUGAGAGCCAUGCCUUCAUCAAGCCAUUUCUGGUUAUCUAUUUCUCUUCACUCUGUUCCUCAAAAGUACAAUUUAUUUUAAUUAAAUUCAGCACAAACACCUCAGUCACUAGCUGGCAUGUUUGAUUGUUUUAAAUUUAUUGCUGCAUGGCUAAAAUGUGGUGCAUUCUGGGGUUUCUCACUGUUGUUGUUAAGUUAAAACCCCUGCUGUAUAUUCUGAUUUAGAAAUAUGUAGGGAAGGUAUGGAUUUUGUAAGAAUAUUAUAUUUAACAUUUCAGUUUUGUAAAAGUAAAUAUCUUUCUAAAGCUGUUUCCGUUUCUGCAGUGCCCUUGAUCUUUAAUAUGUACAGAACUGUAUUUACUGUGUGAGCUUUCAAAAAAAUCUUAAUAUUUAUUAAAUUACUGUUCCGUGGCUUAUAUCAUACUUCAAUAGCACAAAACCAACUAAUUAAAAAAUAUAAGUUUGUCUUUGUUUUAAGUAUGUUUAAAUUUCUUUAUGCCAAAGAGAAUAUCCUAGGAGUUUUAAUGUUGCAUAAAUAAAGCAAUAAACAUCUGAAAAA
This is an RNA transcript of Xyrauchen texanus (razorback sucker), 1417 nucleotides long. It is a transcript of the gene named 15-hydroxyprostaglandin dehydrogenase, with no coding region annotated. NCBI's taxonomy places the organism in Eukaryota, Metazoa, Chordata, Actinopteri, Cypriniformes, Catostomidae. The transcript is spliced from 7 exons. The record is from RefSeq and is a predicted model, not a curated record.